UACGUAGGGUGCAAGCGUUGUCCGGAAUUAUUGGGCGUAAAGAGCUCGUAGGCGGUUUGUCGCGUCUGCUGUGAAAACCCGAGGCUCAACCUCGGGCCUGCAGUGGGUACGGGCAGACUAGAGUGCGGUAGGGGAGAUUGGAAUUCCUGGUGUAGCGGUGGAAUGCGCAGAUAUCAGGAGGAACACCAAUGGCGAAGGCAGAUCUCUGGGCAUUAACUGACGCUGAGGAGCGAAAGCAUGGGGAGCGAACAGG
Molecule: ribosomal RNA, 253 nt
Filed under: uncultured bacterium
Lineage: Bacteria
Description: partial 16S ribosomal RNA
Rfam family: Bacterial small subunit ribosomal RNA
Source: RNAcentral